GUUGGUGCAGAAAACCCGGUUCUGAUAUUUGCGGCUGAGCAAAUAUUCUGUGCUGGUGGUUAACUACUUCCCUUCAAGGUAUGACCCGGUUCGCCAUGCAGAGAAGUAUCCAACUCCACCUACAGUCUGCUACGGAAACCGUGAGAGGUGUAUUAUUGAGAAAGAGAACAACUUCAAGGAGCCUGGAGAUAGAUACCGUUCCUUCACACCAGAGAGGUACACAUUGUUUUUAAUAUUUUCUUUUUGGUGAUACUCAAUACAUUUACAUGUUUA
Molecule: long non-coding RNA, 273 nt
Organism: Brassica oleracea var. oleracea
Lineage: Eukaryota; Viridiplantae; Streptophyta; Magnoliopsida; Brassicales; Brassicaceae
Exons: 3
Source: RefSeq, a predicted model, not a curated record